UCAGAGUAUCAGAAUCAGACAGCAGUGAACUCUAUUCAUCAGAAUGAGACACAAUGGCACAUUAUCAUCAUUAUAUCUGCUCUCAUGAAUGCUGUUCUGACCUUUGUGACUAUUGUAGGUACCUGUUACUCUGGAAAAAACAUAAAACUUAAUGAUUCAGAUCCACUGCAGACUAAAUAUAUGCAUCUAGAACAACCUGGAGAAUUGAGCCAAGCACAGUACACUGCGGUGAGAUUUUCCACAUGUGACGAGUCUGGACACACUCAAGUCAACUGAACCACUGCCC
Long non-coding RNA from Triplophysa rosa, 286 nucleotides. RefSeq lists it as uncharacterized. The record is from RefSeq and is a predicted model, not a curated record. Lineage: Eukaryota; Metazoa; Chordata; Actinopteri; Cypriniformes; Nemacheilidae. The transcript is spliced from 3 exons.